Molecule: ribosomal RNA, 306 nt
Filed under: uncultured bacterium
Lineage: Bacteria
Description: partial 16S ribosomal RNA
Rfam family: Bacterial small subunit ribosomal RNA
Source: RNAcentral
GACAGCAGCAGCCACGGUAAUACGGAGGGUGCAAGCGUUAAUCGGAGUUACUGGGCGUAAAGCGCACGCAGGCGGUCUGUCAAGUCAGAUGUGAAAUCCCCGGGCUUAACCUGGGAACUGCAUUUGAAACUGGCAGGCUAGAGUCUUGUAGAGGGGGGUAGAAUUCCAGGUGUAGCGGUGAAAUGCGUAGAGAUCUGGAGGAAUACCGGUGGCGAAGGCGGCCCCCUGGACAAAGACUGACGCUCAGGUGCGAAAGCGUGGGGAGCAAACAGGAUUAGAUACCCGAGUAGUCCCUGUCUCUUAUAC